RNAcentral lists this ribosomal RNA (492 nucleotides) under uncultured bacterium. Its description in RNAcentral is "partial 16S ribosomal RNA". It matches the Rfam family "Bacterial small subunit ribosomal RNA", at positions 29 to 507 of the family's 1533-position model. The record is from RNAcentral.
AGUGAACGCUGGCGGUAGGCCUAACACAUGCAAGUCGAACGGCAGCACAGUAAGAGCUUGCUCUUACGGGUGGCGAGUGGCGGACGGGUGAGGAAUACAUCGGAAUCUACUUUUUCGUGGGGGAUAACGUAGGGAAACUUACGCUAAUACCGCAUACGACCUACGGGUGAAAGCAGGGGAUCUUCGGACCUUGCGCGAUUGAAUGAGCCGAUGUUGGAUUAGCUAGUUGGCGGGGUAAAGGCCCACCAAGGCGACGCUCCGUAGCUGGUCUGAGAGGAUGAUCAGCCACACUGGAACUGAGACACGGUCCAGACUCCUACGGGAGGCAGCAGUGGGGAAUAUUGGACAAUGGGCGAAAGCCUGAUCCAGCCAUACCGCGUGGGUGAAGAAGGCCUUCGGGUUGUAAAGCCCUUUUGUUGGGAAAGAAAAGCAGCAGGUUAAUACCCCGCUGUUCUGACGGUACCCAAAGAAUAAGCACCGGCUAACUUCGUG